Molecule: transfer RNA, 69 nt
Filed under: Synchiropus sycorax (ruby dragonet)
Lineage: Eukaryota; Metazoa; Chordata; Actinopteri; Syngnathiformes; Callionymidae
Description: tRNA-Arg
Rfam family: tRNA
About the family: Transfer RNA (tRNA) molecules are approximately 80 nucleotides in length. Their secondary structure includes four short double-helical elements and three loops (D, anti-codon, and T loops).
Source: RNAcentral
AGAUUAUUAGUUUAAAUAAAACAUUUGAUUUCGGCUCAGAAGACCGUGGUUAAAACCCACAAUAAUCUA